Molecule: ribosomal RNA, 580 nt
Filed under: uncultured bacterium
Lineage: Bacteria
Description: bacterial SSU rRNA
Rfam family: Bacterial small subunit ribosomal RNA
Source: RNAcentral
CCUACGGGAGGCAGCAGUGGGGAAUAUUGGACAAUGGGCUCACGCCCGAUCCAAAAAUAUCGCGUGGGUGAAGGAGGGCACUGUCGCUUUUCAAGCUCUUUCGUCGAGUUUCGAUCAUGACAAGACUCGAGGAAGAAGCCCCAGCUAGCUCCGUGCCAGUAGCCGCCGUAAUACGGGGGGGGCAAUUAUUAUUCGCAAUGACUGGGCGUAAAGGGCACGCAGGCGGUGAAAAGGGUGGAAAGUGAAAGUCGCCAAAACACUGGCGGGGUGAUUUCUUGACCAUUUCACUUGAGUGAGAUAGGGGAGAGUGGAAUUUCAUGUGGAGGGAUCAAAUCCUAAGAUAUACGAAGGAACGCCAACCGCGAAGACAGCUCUCUAGGUCCCCACUGACGCUGGGGUGCGAAAGCAUGGGGAGAAAACAGGAUCAGAUACCCUGGUAGUCCAUGCCGUAAGCGAUGAGUGUUCGUCCUUGGUCUGCCUACCUACUAGGUAGGAUUAGGAUCAGGGGCCCAGCUAACGCGUGAAACACUCCGCCUGGGGAGUAUGGUCGCAAGACUGAAACUCAAAUGAAUUGACGGGG